RNAcentral lists this ribosomal RNA (350 nucleotides) under uncultured bacterium. RNAcentral's name for it is "bacterial SSU rRNA". It matches the Rfam family "Bacterial small subunit ribosomal RNA", at positions 8 to 349 of the family's 1533-position model. The record is from RNAcentral.
AGAGUUUGAUCAUGGCUCAGGAUGAACGCUAGCUACAGGCUUAACACAUGCAAGUCGAGGGGCAGCGGGAUUGAAGCUUGCUUCAAUUGCCGGCGACCGGCGCACGGGUGAGUAACGCGUAUCCAACCUUCCGUACACUCAGGGAUAGCCUUUCGAAAGAAAGAUUAAUACCUGAUGGUAUGAUGAAAUUGCAUGAUAGCAUCAUUAAAGAUUUAUCGGUGUACGAUGGGGAUGCGUUCCAUUAGGUAGUAGGCGGGGUAACGGCCACCUAGCCUACGAUGGAUAGGGGUUCUGAGAGGAACGGUCCCCANAUUGGAACUGAGACACGGUACCAAACUCCGUACGGAGCA